Non-coding RNA from Taeniopygia guttata (zebra finch), 662 nucleotides. Lineage: Eukaryota; Metazoa; Chordata; Aves; Passeriformes; Estrildidae. The record is from RefSeq and is a predicted model, not a curated record.
CUUUGGGCCAUAUUCUUGGUCUGGUUUCCUUAGCUUGGUUCCCAUCUGAGUGCUCAGUUCGGGUACAGGCUGUAGGUGCUUGGUGCACUCCUGGAGUUACUCUUGGAUCCCUUGAACAACAGGGUUUGGCCCACGAGGGGAAUUUGUGCUGCUUUGUGACAGAGGAGAACUUCCCCAGCUAUUUUGCGUUUGCUGUAGGGAAGGUUGGUUAUUGCUCUGCCUAAAUUCACAGGCCAAUAUAGAGUGCUUGCAUUGUGAUGUCAGGGCAUGGUUGCCAUGUGGUCAUGGUGGCAUCAGAAGGUUGUCUUGGUGCACGGAAGGCCUCAGUGUCAGAGCAGCUCUAGGGCUCGCUCAGGGCAGGAGCAUCCUCCUGCUUGAGGCGUUUGUCAGUGGGAGCUGCCCACAGACAAGAGCCUUGAUUUUUCUGAUGGUGGAGCAAAUCUGCACAGCAGUGCUACAAUGAUUGAGAAGGUUGUUGCUGUAGCUAUUGGAGCUUACGGCGUUUUUUAUUCCAGCUAUUACCUCACUAACCUGACACGUCACCUGAUGCAUGUAAUCAGCGGUGCUGGUCCUAAGAUCUUUCAGGAGCUGGCUGGUCAGAAACUUGCAUCUCUGCCUUGCACUAAAGACAGCACCACCCACAACUGGCACUUACUGGCUCC